UGGUUUGAACCACAGGACUAGGAAUGGGAACACCUGAAUUUCCUACCUGACUCUGUAUUGGACUUAUUUUAAGACUUUGGGUUUUGUCCGGGAGUUUUCCACUGGCAUACAUAAAAACACUGCAGAAUUUAAGAAGUGCAACAUGGCAAGAGGCUGCCUGUGUUGUUUGAAAUACAUGAUGUUCCUUUUCAAUUUAAUAUUUUGG
Molecule: non-coding RNA, 205 nt
Organism: Struthio camelus australis
Lineage: Eukaryota; Metazoa; Chordata; Aves; Struthioniformes; Struthionidae
Source: RefSeq, a predicted model, not a curated record